RNAcentral lists this ribosomal RNA (171 nucleotides) under uncultured bacterium. Its description in RNAcentral is "partial 16S ribosomal RNA". It matches the Rfam family "Bacterial small subunit ribosomal RNA", at positions 1332 to 1500 of the family's 1533-position model. The record is from RNAcentral.
UUGCUAGUAAUCGCGAAUCAGAAUGUCGCGGUGAAUACGUUCCCGGGCCUUGUACACACCGCCCGUCACACCAUGAGAGUCGAUAACACCCGAAGCCUGUGAGCUAACCGUAAGGAGGCAGCAGUCGAAGGGUGGGGUUGAUGAUUUGGGGUGAAGUCGUAACAAGGUAAC